RNAcentral lists this long non-coding RNA (973 nucleotides) under Heterocephalus glaber (naked mole-rat). RNAcentral's name for it is "lncRNA (ENSHGLG00000046428.1)". Lineage: Eukaryota; Metazoa; Chordata; Mammalia; Rodentia; Bathyergidae. The record is from RNAcentral.
AAAAAUACUUAAGAAACAGAGACAGAAACACAGAGAUGCACACACACACACACACACACACACGCACGCACGCACGCACGCACGCACGCACGCACGCACACAGCAUUCCCAGAUGGUCCCGUUCAGCGGGAACGCCUGACUUCCUGUUUUCCCGGACUGCCUUACUUCCUCUUCUGUCUUCUGUCAGCAAUUCUACACCAUGGCUUCCUCCCCAUAAACUCAAUGCUCUGCGGGUCACUGAACGCGAGGCGUCCGGAGCACUUCUGAGUUGGAUCAGAGUCCAGUCAGGGGCUGGGCCCAAGGUUUGGGCUCCAGUUUUGGGGACACCACUCAGGCACAGCACUGCUGGAGUGGGGAGUGAACGCUAAUGACAUCCCCAAGAUCAUCUCUAAACAUCCUCCUCUGGCUUCUGCAAUUGUUCCAGCUUGAUUAUAACACCGUCUCAGAAGGAGAAAUGAAAGACAGUCUGCGUUUCUCAGGAAAACGAUCAAUGAAGGAAAACGAUCAAUGAAUCAAAUUUUGUGGUUUCAUUACUGGAAACCCCGUAGUAUAGAAAAUGUAAAAAAAAAAAAAAAAAAAAAAAAAAAAUCCCGUCCUUGAUCAAGUUGACCGGCUAAUUAACAAGACUUCCAAAUACCAUGCGGGCGGCGACAGCAACCCAAACAUUCAACCGUCCUUGGUCCCGCUAGCGGGCGGGGGUUUUCUUCUCUUCCAGGCCCGGCCUAGAAACUCAUAUUUUAUUCAUGAAAAUCUAGGCCCUGGGAGGCCUCGGCAUAAACAGGAUGUCCCUUCGUUCCCAUCUCCCCAGAUUCAAACCUGGGACUGGUUUUCUGAGAGGCUGAGGCAGGAGGGUCUCUGAGUUUGAAGCAAGCAUGGACAACUUGGUGAGACCCUGCCUUGAAAUAAAAUAUGAAAAGGGUUAGGGAUGGAGCUCAGUGCAAAAGCCCUGGGUUCAAUCCCCAGUAGCAGCGGG